This 215-nucleotide long non-coding RNA is filed under the name Elaeis guineensis (African oil palm). Its description in RNAcentral is "long non-coding RNA (EGUI_LNC023247)". The record is from RNAcentral. Lineage: Eukaryota; Viridiplantae; Streptophyta; Magnoliopsida; Arecales; Arecaceae.
GAAUCCUCCCAAGUAUCCCUGUGAGGGUUGGAUUGAGGGAACAAUAAUUAUUUGACACUAACAUUAGGCCAACAGCCACACAAGUAGCAAGAAAGAGAUAACAAAGGAAUACUUUAUUCCAAAGGUCCGUACAUGUUCCAUAAAAAGCUUAUUACAAGAUAAUUUUAUUUGGACAAAGUUUAUUACAGUAAGAAAAAAAUACAAGACUUGAGUCC